UACGUAGGGGGCAAGCGUUGUCCGGAUUCAUUGGGCGUAAAGAGCGUGUAGGCGGCUCGGUAAGUCCGCUGUAAAAGUCAAAGGCUCAACCUUUGAAUGUCAGUGGAUACUGCCGGGCUAGAGUCCGGAAGAGGCGAGUGGAACUCCUGGUGUAGCGGUGGAAUGCGCAGAUAUCAGGAAGAACACCAACGGCGAAGGCAGCUCGCUGGGACGGUACUGACGCUGAGACGCGAAAGCGUGGGGAGCGAACAGG
RNAcentral lists this ribosomal RNA (253 nucleotides) under uncultured bacterium. RNAcentral's name for it is "partial 16S ribosomal RNA". It matches the Rfam family "Bacterial small subunit ribosomal RNA", at positions 524 to 776 of the family's 1533-position model. The record is from RNAcentral.